UACGAAGGGGGCUAGCGUUGCUCGGAAUCACUGGGCGUAAAGCGCACGUAGGCGGAUCUUUAAGUCAGGGGUGAAAUCCUGGAGCUCAACUCCAGAACUGCCUUUGAUACUGGGGAUCUCGAGUCCGGAAGAGGUGAGUGGAACUCCGAGUGUAGAGGUGAAAUUCGUAGAUAUUCGGAAGAACACCAGAGGCGAAGGCGGCUCACUGGUCCGGUACUGACGCUGAGGUGCGAAAGCGUGGGGAGCAAACAGG
Molecule: ribosomal RNA, 253 nt
Filed under: uncultured bacterium
Lineage: Bacteria
Description: partial 16S ribosomal RNA
Rfam family: Bacterial small subunit ribosomal RNA
Source: RNAcentral